AGACGUGCUACCUCUUCCCUUCCUAAACGAAUAUUUACAAUAUUCUUACCAAAUAGAAUUCGGUUGGGGACUGGUUUGAGCGUUUUGAUCAAUGACCGAGGAGUUUCUUUUGAGCUCUGCUUUCGAGACAGCGGUCCUAAGCCAGACUCUCUGGCGUCGGGCACUGAACCCCUCCCGCAGCUGCAAGGCACCUCGGGUAUCCCUGCGCUUCCCACUGCCAAGUGCAACGCGGCGGCGGCGCGUUGGGGUCUUUUCUGCUUUUUACUGAUGUUUGGAGAUUACCCCUCCCCUCCGCCCUUUGCUAGACCAGCUUGGGGCAAGACCAGAUUGUUGUCCAGCUUGGGGCAAGACCGCUGGAAGAGGGCAGCCAGGAGGCCGUUUCCGCGGGCGGGGAUCUACAGGAUUGAAAUGAAAUGUUUUGAGGUCUUCAAGCUGACUCAGGAUCCUGGAGUAUUUUUAAAAUGACGGUAAUUUUCUAAUGUUUAAUUUGUAUAUACGGAAGCACUUGUGUGUGUGCGCGUGUGCGCGCGUGUUUGCGUGUGAGAAACAUGCGGCUGAAUGACAAUGCAGAUCCUGAAAUUGUUUGGGGCAGAGGGUUUGUGCUCUCAAAAUGUAGAUGAAGUUUGAGCAGACUUUGGACACUCGCUGAGAGCCAGAGAGCUUCCAGAGGUGUAGAUGAGAGCUUGGAGAGAUGGCCAGAUUUGCCUGUAAAUAAUCACUACAUCCACUGUAACACUUCAGCUGCAUUUUUUUUUUUUUUUUUUUUUUUUUGGUGGCAGUGUAUUUGAAAGGGGAACGCUCUCCACAAACGUGGGUUACAGGCGUCUCCUAGCGGCGAAAGCAGCACAGGGCAAGCCAAUGCAUUUUGCUCGGGAGCUCUCGUUCGUCAGGACUCGCCUGUUGGGGGCUCUGCAGGCUUUCUUGGGUCUCAGAGGCCUGCAUCCGCGCCGGCGACGCCGUCCCGGGUCCUCUAGAGGUCUCGCCUCUCUGACUUCUAGUCUCCAAGGCGCCCUGAUCUCGGCGGGGUGAAGACGGGGUCUUCCUUCUGGCAGAGCUGACUUGAAUCCCGCGGUCCGCCUUCCUCUAAGUAGCUCCAGCCAACAGCAAUUCGAGAGCAUUUUGUCCCGGGCCAAGAUUCAAAUAUUGGCAUUAACAGCCAUCUCUGCCUCCUUACUCUGAUACCAUUAAAGAGCCCCACCCCGUCACCCAGGAAACACAAUACUUUAAAUCUGACAUUUAAAAAUGUCUCAAAAGUGUAACCUGUGUACUUUCUUCCUUGCUGUAUCAAGCAGAUUUUUUUCCCCUCUCCUUUUCCUUUUUCACUUGUCCUUCGGCGCACCCCAGAAUUUAGUGAGGCCAUGAUUACAUAAAUAACAGUCUCUGUGGUGAGAUCGACGAUUUCUUUGAAGUGCAGAAUUUCUUGCAAUGUAGCAAGAUCGAAUCCACUGGGAGAAGCAAGCAUGCC
RNAcentral lists this long non-coding RNA (1465 nucleotides) under Sus scrofa (pig). Its description in RNAcentral is "lncRNA (ENSSSCG00060030394.1)". Lineage: Eukaryota; Metazoa; Chordata; Mammalia; Artiodactyla; Suidae. The record is from RNAcentral.